Molecule: long non-coding RNA, 286 nt
Filed under: Fukomys damarensis (Damara mole-rat)
Lineage: Eukaryota; Metazoa; Chordata; Mammalia; Rodentia; Bathyergidae
Description: lncRNA (ENSFDAG00000026332.1)
Source: RNAcentral
GCUGGGAUGGAAGAAAGGGAAAAGAAUGUGUGUGACUUUUUAUAUUUUUUCCUUUCUCAAGGGAGAAAUCUGAGAACUAACAACCAACAUUUAUUCCUAUUUUGCUUCAUCUCAGGGAAAGAAGGAGGCACAGACCGCCGAUGUGGAAAUCUUUCUCAGCACACCCACAACGCGGACUUUCUUCAGGCUUUUGCUUUUCAGAUCUACCUCCUCCUAGAGAAAGCUAGUGGACUGUCCACGCUGAUUUGAACGAGCUACAUCAGUAUUUACUGACCUAGACUGGGCA